This 501-nucleotide ribosomal RNA is filed under the name uncultured bacterium. RNAcentral's name for it is "partial 16S ribosomal RNA". It matches the Rfam family "Bacterial small subunit ribosomal RNA", at positions 30 to 523 of the family's 1533-position model. The record is from RNAcentral.
AUUGAACGCUGGCGGCAGGCUUAACACAUGCAAGUCGAGCGGAGAGAGGUAGCUUGCUACUGAUCUUAGCGGCGGACGGGUGAGUAAUGCUUAGGAAUCUGCCUAGUAGUGGGGGACAACAUUUCGCAAGGAAUGCUAAUACCGCAUACGUCCUACGGGAGAAAGCAGGGAAUCUUCGGACCUUGCGCUAAUAGAUGAGCCUAAGUCGGAUUAGCUAGUUGGUGGGGUAAAGGACUACCAAGGCGACGAUCUGUAGCGGGUCUGAGAGGAUGAUCCGCCACACUGGGACUGAGACACGGCCCAGACUCCUACAGGAGGCAGCAGUGGGGAAUAUUGGACAAUGGGCGCAAGCCUGAUCCAGCCAUGCCGCGUGUGUGAAGAAGGCCUUAUGGUUGUAAAGCACUUUAAGCGAGGAGGAGGCUACUUUCGUUAAUACCUAGAGAUAGUGGACGUUACUCGCAGAAUAAGCACCGGCUAACUCUGUGCCAGCCGCCGCUGUAA